RNAcentral lists this ribosomal RNA (376 nucleotides) under uncultured prokaryote. RNAcentral describes it as "bacterial SSU rRNA". It matches the Rfam family "Bacterial small subunit ribosomal RNA", at positions 524 to 896 of the family's 1533-position model. The record is from RNAcentral.
CACGUAGGGGGCGAGCGUUGUCCGGAUUUAUUGGGCGUAAAGAGCUCGUAGGCGGUUCGGUAAGUCGGGUGUGAAACCUCCAGGCUCAACCUGGAGACGCCACCUGAUACUGCUGUGACUAGAGUCCGGUAGGGGAGUGUGGAACUCCUGGUGUAGCGGUGAAAUGCGCAGAUAUCAGGAAGAACACCAGCGGCGAAGGCGGCACUCUGGGCCGGUACUGACGCUGAGGAGCGAAAGCGUGGGUAGCAAACAGGAUUAGAUACCCUGGUAGUCCACGCCGUAAACGUUGGGCACUAGGUGUGGGUCUCAACCAACGAGAUCCGUGCCGCAGCUAACGCAUUAAGUGCCCCGCCUGGGGAGUACGGCCGCAAGGCUA